This 1352-nucleotide ribosomal RNA is filed under the name uncultured bacterium. RNAcentral's name for it is "bacterial SSU rRNA". It matches the Rfam family "Bacterial small subunit ribosomal RNA", at positions 28 to 1381 of the family's 1533-position model. The record is from RNAcentral.
AUUGAACGCUGGCGGCAUGCUUUACACAUGCAAGUCGAACGGCAGCGCGGGGCAACCUGGCGGCGAGUGGCGAACGGGUGAGUAAUAUAUCGGAACGUACCCAAGAGUGGGGGAUAACGUAGCGAAAGUUACGCUAAUACCGCAUACGAUCCAUGGAUGAAAGUGGGGGAUUCGCAAGAACCUCAUGCUCCUGGAGCGGCCGAUAUCUGAUUAGCUAGUUGGUGAGGUAAAGGCUCACCAAGGCGACGAUCAGUAGCUGGUCUGAGAGGACGACCAGCCACACUGGGGCUGAGACACGGCCCAGACUCCUGCGGGAGGCAGCAGUGGGGAAUUUUGGACAAUGGGCGCAAGCCUGAUCCAGCAAUGCCGCGUGAGUGAAGAAGGCCUUCGGGUUGUAAAGCUCUUUUGUCAGGGAAGAAACGGUUGGGGCUAAUAUCCCCGGCUAAUGACGGUACCUGAAGAAUAAGCACCGGCUAACUACGUGCCAGCAGCCGCGGUAAUACGUAGGGUGCAAGCGUUAAUCGGAAUUACUGGGCGUAAAGCGUGCGCAGGCGGUUUUGUAAGUCUGUCGUGAAAGCCCCGGGCUCAACCUGGGAAUUGCGAUGGAGACUGCAAGGCUUGAAUCUGGCAGAGGGGGGUAGAAUUCCACGUGUAGCAGUGAAAUGCGUAGAGAUGUGGAGGAACACCGAUGGCGAAGGCAGCCCCCUGGGUCAAGAUUGACGCUCAUGCACGAAAGCGUGGGGAGCAAACAGGAUUAGAUACCCUGGUAGUCCACGCCCUAAACGAUGUCUACUAGUUGUCGGGUCUUAAUUGACUUGGUAACGCAGCUAACGCGUGAAGUAGACCGCCUGGGGAGUACGGUCGCAAGAUUAAAACUCAAAGGAAUUGACGGGGACCCGCACAAGCGGUGGAUGAUGUGGAUUAAUUCGAUGCAACGCGAAAAACCUUACCUACCCUUGACAUGUCAGGAACCUCCGAGAGAUUGGAGGGUGCCCGAAAGGGAACCUGAACACAGGUGCUGCAUGGCUGUCGUCAGCUCGUGUCGUGAGAUGUUGGGUUAAGUCCCGCAACGAGCGCAACCCUUGUCAUUAGUUGCUACGAAAGGGCACUCUAAUGAGACUGCCGGUGACAAACCGGAGGAAGGUGGGGAUGACGUCAAGUCCUCAUGGCCCUUAUGGGUAGGGCUUCACACGUCAUACAAUGGUACAUACAGAGGGCCGCCAACCCGCGAGGGGGAGCUAAUCCCAGAAAGUGUAUCGUAGUCCGGAUCGCAGUCUGCAACUCGACUGCGUGAAGUUGGAAUCGCUAGUAAUCGCGGAUCAGCAUGUCGCGGUGAAUACGUUCCCGGGUCU